UACAGAGGUGGCAAGCGUUGUUCGGAUUUAUUGGGCGUAAAGGGUCCGUAGGCGGCCUAAAAAGUUGGAUGUGAAAUCCCACAGCUUAACUGUGGAACUGCAUUCAAAACUUUUAGGCUCGAGUGUGAUAGGGGUAAAGGGAAUUCCCGGUGUAAGGGUGAAAUCUGCAGAGAUCGGGAGGAACACCAGUCGCGAAGGCGCUUUACUGGAUCACUACUGACGCUGAGGGACGAAAGCCAGGGGAGCAAACGGG
Molecule: ribosomal RNA, 253 nt
Filed under: uncultured bacterium
Lineage: Bacteria
Description: partial 16S ribosomal RNA
Rfam family: Bacterial small subunit ribosomal RNA
Source: RNAcentral